CAGAGUAAAUAUAUGUGCGUUAUACUUAGAGGCAGUUUUUGUCAAAGGUAUUAAGUGUCUUGUGAACGGGGAGUUGUCACAUGAACGAAAGCUUUUGCUGCGGUACAUAUAUUGCAUCCCGCUG
RNAcentral lists this non-coding RNA (124 nucleotides) under bovine gut metagenome. RNAcentral's name for it is "THF riboswitch". It matches the Rfam family "THF (Tetrahydrofolate) riboswitch aptamer". From Rfam's summary of the family: THF riboswitch presents a pseudoknot that joins P1-P2 and the loop of P3 and two THF binding. The record is from RNAcentral.